GACGAACGCUGGCGGCGUGCUUAACACAUGCAAGUCGAACGGAAAGGCCCUGCUUUUGUGGGGUGCUCGAGUGGCGAACGGGUGAGUAACACGUGAGUAACCUGCCCUUGACUUUGGGAUAACUUCAUGAAACUUGGGCUAAUACCGGAUAGGACCUCCUGCUGCAUGGUGGUGGUUGGAAAGUUUCGGCGUUUGGGGAUGGACUCGCGUCUUAUCAGCUUGUUGGUGGGGUAGUGGCUUACCAAGGCUUUGACGGGUAGCCGGCCUGAGAGGGUGACCGGCGACAUUGGGACUGAGAUACGGCCCAGACUCCUACGGGAGGCAGCAGUGGGGAAUAUUGCACAAUGGGCGGAAGCCUGAUGCAGCAACGCCGCGUGCGGGAUGACGGCCUUCGGGUUAUAAACCGCUUUCGCCUGUGACGAAGAGUGAGUGACGGUAAUGGGUAAAGAAGCACCGGCUAACUACGUG
RNAcentral lists this ribosomal RNA (468 nucleotides) under uncultured bacterium. RNAcentral describes it as "partial 16S ribosomal RNA". It matches the Rfam family "Bacterial small subunit ribosomal RNA", at positions 28 to 507 of the family's 1533-position model. The record is from RNAcentral.